GCCACAGCCAUAUCACCCUGCAGCCCAAGACUGGUUGCCCACUGAAGCUAAGCAGGGUUGAGCCUGGUCAGUAUCUGGAUGGGAGACCUCCUGGGAAAACUAGGUUGCUGCUGGAA
This 116-nucleotide ribosomal RNA is filed under the name Sinocyclocheilus grahami. The record is from RNAcentral. Lineage: Eukaryota; Metazoa; Chordata; Actinopteri; Cypriniformes; Cyprinidae.